RNAcentral lists this transfer RNA (76 nucleotides) under bacterium CG2_30_40_12. Its description in RNAcentral is "tRNA-Glu". It matches the Rfam family "tRNA". Rfam says of the family: Transfer RNA (tRNA) molecules are approximately 80 nucleotides in length. Their secondary structure includes four short double-helical elements and three loops (D, anti-codon, and T loops). Further hydrogen bonds mediate the characteristic L-shaped molecular structure. tRNAs have two regions of fundamental functional importance: the anti-codon, which is responsible for specific mRNA codon recognition, and the 3' end, to which the tRNAs corresponding amino acid is attached (by aminoacyl-tRNA synthetases). tRNAs cope with the degeneracy of the genetic code in two manners: having more than one tRNA (with a specific anti-codon) for a particular amino acid; and 'wobble' base-pairing, i.e. permitting non-standard base-pairing at the 3rd anti-codon position. The record is from RNAcentral.
GGCCCCAUCGUCUAGUGGACCAGGACAUUGCCUUCUCAGGGCAGUAACCGGGGUUCGAAUCCCCGUGGGGUCACCA